Molecule: ribosomal RNA, 449 nt
Filed under: uncultured bacterium
Lineage: Bacteria
Description: partial 16S ribosomal RNA
Rfam family: Bacterial small subunit ribosomal RNA
Source: RNAcentral
AACGAACGCUGGCGGCAUGCCUAACACAUGCAAGCCGAACGAGAUCUUCGGGUCUAGCGGCGCACGGGUGCGUAACGCGUGGGAAUCUGCCCUUUGGUUCGGAAUAACAGUUGGAAACGACUGCUAAUACCGGAUGAUGACGAAAGUCCAAAGAUUUAUCGCCAGAGGAUGAGCCCGCGUAGGAUUAGCUAGUUGGUGUGGUAAAGGCGCACCAAGGCGACGAUCCUUAGCUGGUCUGAGAGGAUGAUCAGCCACACUGGGACUGAGACACGGCCCAGACUCCUACGGGAGGCAGCAGUGGGGAAUAUUGGACAAUGGGCGAAAGCCUGAUCCAGCAAUGCCGCGUGAGUGAUGAAGGCCUUAGGGUUGUAAAGCUCUUUUACCCGGGAUGAUAAUGACAGUACCGGGAGAAUAAGCUCCGGCUAACUCCGUGCCAGCCGCCGCAGUAA